GAUGAACGCUGGCGGCGUGCUUAACACAUGCAAGUCGAGCGAGAAGUUUUGAAAAGAUUCUUCGGAUGAAAUUUAAAAUGGAAAGCGGCGGACGGGUGAGUAACGCGUAGGCAACCUGCCCCAUACAAAGGGAUAGCAUUUGGAAACGAAUAUUAAUACCUUAUGAAACUUAACUAGUGCAUGCUAGGUAGGUCAAAGAUUUAUCGGUAUGGGAUGGGCCUGCGUCUGAUUAGCUAGUUGGCGAGGUAACGGCUCACCAAGGCGACGAUCAGUAGCCGACCUGAGAGGGUGAACGGCCACAUUGGAACUGAGACACGGUCCAAACUCCUACGGGAGGCAGCAGUGGGGAAUAUUGCACAAUGGGGGAAACCCUGAUGCAGCAACGCCGCGUGAACGAUGAAGGCCUUUGGGUCGUAAAGUUCUGUUCUAGGUGAUGAAAACUGACAGUAACCUAGGAGAAAGCCCCGGCUAACUCCGUG
Molecule: ribosomal RNA, 479 nt
Filed under: uncultured bacterium
Lineage: Bacteria
Description: partial 16S ribosomal RNA
Rfam family: Bacterial small subunit ribosomal RNA
Source: RNAcentral